UGCCCCUCUCCCCUGCCCGUGUGCUCUCUAAAAUAAAAAUAAAGUAUUUUUCAUACACACAGCAAUAAACAACAUUAAGUGGUGACAGGAACAUAGGAGAUGAAGAACCAAACUAUCUAGUGUGGCCUCAACUCUCUAGUAGUUGUGUCACCUUGAACAAAGGUCUCAGCAGCAGUUUACACAACUGUAAAAUGGAGAUGAAUAAUGGCUGCCUCUCUCUCUCUCUCCCCGUGCUGUUGUGAAGGUCAAGCAAAAUAAGGAGUGUUUAAAUGUUUUAAAAAUAUAAAAGAGCAUGAAGAUGAAUGAGGGAAUAACCAGUCUUAUCAGUUAAGACAGUUAAAAAUGUCGGUUUGAUCUCUUAACUGAUUUUUACAAUGUUAUGCUCAUGCAGUGAAUGUAUAGUUUAGCCAUCCUGUUCUGUGUGUGACGUUACUCAAUGUUGAGACAGAAAUGGUGACGUGGAAUGCACAUUUACAGACCUUUGGCCCAGAAGCCAUAUUAUAGAAAAAGUCUAACCAGGCAGAAAAUCUCCAAUCAGUCUGUUAUCACAACCAGAAUGCAAGAGAUUAGUGGCCACAGAGAGAAGCAGAAUCAGUUUACAUCCUUUCAGGCAAGAGAAUGAUAUUACUUCACAAGCAAGAAAUCUGAAGCUCCCUGACCUUAAUUUAGAAAGCCUGCAGUUAAUAAUCACAUUAAGGUUGGUUUUACGUGCCAGUUUUUGUUUUCUUUGUUGUUUUUACAAUUUGAGUAUCCUCUGUCAUUAUCAAAAUUAUCUGCUGAAAGGCAUACAUUCACGUUUAAAAUACUUAAUCUGUAAUAAAGGAAGUCUUAUACUUUUGAUAUAUCUGAGUUAAAAUACACUUUGCAUUAAGUUUUUACAAAGGCAAUCACAUUGCUUGUGUUUAUCCAGAGUAGAAUUUAGCAACUUGUUGACUGUGACAAUUAAUACACUGAAAACUCCUUUUUAAAUUGAAGAAUCAAAUGGGUUUUUCAUUGUAAUCUGUCAAUCCCAAUAAAGAAUAUAUAGAACCCACCAAGAGUACACUCUUGCCCCUCCCUGAAAAAAGGUCAAUUGUCUCUUGAAGGAAAGAGAACUAAACCCGAAGCUACAAAGUUAGCAAAACAAAAAAACAAAAAUGGGUCAAGGAACAGAUGUGCAGACCAGGGAGAGUUGGCACAGGUGACUAGGUCAGUAAGAAGAGGUUCUGAUGACAGCAAAUUGAACUUGGGGUUGUCCCCAUAAUUAAAUACUUAACGAAAACAAAUCUAAUUAACGCCAUAAGCCAAAAAGAACUAUAAAUGAUCUUCUCAAGUAUGGUCAACUUUCACUUGACAUUGUACUGAAGGAACUGUAUUAGUUCAACCUACUUUAGCUGCUUCAAUGUAAUUCACUGUGUGUUCACUAAAAUGAGUUAUCUGAGUCUUCUGACACCUGCUCUCUUUUAGAGAGAGAUUUGUGUGUGUUGAAGGGGGGCGGUUAUGAUGUGAAAUGUGUAGUCCAGCUAUGAAAAUGACACAGAAUGAAAAUAACAGAAUGAAAAAAAAUGUACAUGCUGUACUAGAAGAAAAGUUCGUUACAAAGGCAUUUUUUGGUGCCAAAAAAGUUUGGGUUUACUAAAAUAUUUAUUUUCAAGGUACUUUUGGUAUUAUGCAAAUAGAAUACUUGGAGGG
Long non-coding RNA from Felis catus (domestic cat), 1671 nucleotides. RefSeq lists it as uncharacterized. NCBI's taxonomy places the organism in Eukaryota, Metazoa, Chordata, Mammalia, Carnivora, Felidae. The transcript is spliced from 2 exons. The record is from RefSeq and is a predicted model, not a curated record.